Molecule: ribosomal RNA, 505 nt
Filed under: uncultured bacterium
Lineage: Bacteria
Description: bacterial SSU rRNA
Rfam family: Bacterial small subunit ribosomal RNA
Source: RNAcentral
CUACGUGCCAGCAGCCGCGGUAAUACGGAAGGUUCGGGCGUUAUCCGGAUUUAUUGGGUUUAAAGGGAGCGUAGGCCGGAGAUUAAGUGUGUUGUGAAAUGUAGACGCUCAACGUCUGACUUGCAGCGCAUACUGGUUUCCUUGAGUACGCACAACGUUGGCGGAAUUCGUCGUGUAGCGGUGAAAUGCUUAGAUAUGACGAAGAACUCCGAUUGCGAAGGCAGCUGACGGGAGCGCAACUGACGCUGAAGCUCGAAGGUGCGGGUAUCGAACAGGAUUAGAUACCCUGGUAGUCCGCACAGUAAACGAUGGAUGCCCGCUGUUGGUACCUAGUAUCAGCGGCUAAGCGAAAGCAUUAAGCAUCCCACCUGGGGAGUACGCCGGCAACGGUGAAACUCAAAGGGAUUGACGGGGGCCCGCACAAGCGGAGGAACAUGUGGUUUAAUUCGAUGAUACGCGAGGAACCUUACCCGGGCUUGAAUUGCAGAGGAAGGAUUUAGAGAUA